This 253-nucleotide ribosomal RNA is filed under the name uncultured Bacteroidales bacterium. RNAcentral's name for it is "partial 16S ribosomal RNA". It matches the Rfam family "Bacterial small subunit ribosomal RNA", at positions 524 to 776 of the family's 1533-position model. The record is from RNAcentral. Lineage: Bacteria; Pseudomonadati; Bacteroidota; Bacteroidia; Bacteroidales.
UACGGAGGAUCCGAGCGUUAUCCGGAUUUAUUGGGUUUAAAGGGUGCGUAGGCGGCCUUUUAAGUCAGCGGUGAAAGUCUGUGGCUCAACCAUAGAAUUGCCGUUGAAACUGGCUGUCUUGAGAUGUCGAGAGGUAUGCGGAAUGCGCAGUGUAGCGGUGAAAUGCUUAGAUAUUGCGCAGAACUCCGAUUGCGAAGGCAGCAUACCGGCGGCGAUCUGACGCUGAGGCACGAAAGCGUGGGUAUCGAACAGG